GUAGAUGUAGCUUAAACACCACAAAGCAAGACACUGAAGAUGUCUAGACGGACCUCACAGUCCCAUCAACA
RNAcentral lists this transfer RNA (71 nucleotides) under Inia geoffrensis (Amazon river dolphin). RNAcentral describes it as "transfer RNA-Phe". The record is from RNAcentral. Lineage: Eukaryota; Metazoa; Chordata; Mammalia; Artiodactyla; Iniidae.